AGAGCGAACGCUGGCGGCAGGCCUAAUACAUGCAAGUCGAACGGACCCUUCGGGGUUAGUGGCGGACGGGUGAGUAACACGUGGGAACGUGCCCUUUGGUUCGGAACAACUCAGGGAAACUUGAGCUAAUACCGAAUGUGCCCUUUGGGGGAAAGAUUUAUCGCCAUUGGAGCGGCCCGCGUCUGAUUAGCUAGUUGGUGAGGUAAAGGCUCACCAAGGCGACGAUCAGUAGCUGGUCUGAGAGGAUGAUCAGCCACACUGGGACUGAGACACGGCCCAGACUCCUACGGGAGGCAGCAGUAGGGAAUCUUGCGCAAUGGGCGAAAGCCUGACGCAGCCAUGCCGCGUGAAUGAUGAAGGUCUUAGGAUUGUAAAAUUCUUUCAGCGGGGACGAUAAUGACGGUACCCGCAGAAGAACGCCCCGGCUAACUUCGCGCCAGCAGCCGC
Molecule: ribosomal RNA, 447 nt
Filed under: uncultured bacterium
Lineage: Bacteria
Description: SSU rRNA
Rfam family: Bacterial small subunit ribosomal RNA
Source: RNAcentral